UGCAGGUGGAACUGACUACUACAACUCCACUGUAUAUUGCUAUCAUUUAUUGUAUACCUAAUCAAAAACCACUUUACGUGUGGAUAAACCCUAUCAAUACGGUAAUGGGUUUACCAGCUAUUAUAUGCAUACAUAAAGUUACAGUCCAGAAUUUCUCGGUUCCAUGCAUUUGAUAAAUCCACAAAUCCACCACUAUAUUCAUACGUGAACAAUAAAUAUUAAGUAAAUAAAAGGUGUAAUAUUGGUAGUUUCUAGAAGUAUUAAAAGCAUUCACAAAAUGUCAAUACUUUAGUUAGUUUGCUUUAAAUAUCUAUAAUAGUACGUUCGUUGCCAAUUGUUACCGAAUUUCAUGGUUAUUAUAUUUAUCUGCCAUUAGGAUAGCAUAUACAAAUAAUACGAAUUUGUAAACAUUGUCCAAAUAACAAAUGGCAUUGGACAUCAUAAUUGUACACGUCGUUACAUACGGAGUCAGCUAUCUAGUUAUUAUAUAUUAUAUAUCUGUGGUAUAAACAAUGUCUUUUUUUUUUUUUUUUUUUGAAGGUAG
This is a non-coding RNA of Cinara cedri, 544 nucleotides long. The record is from the annotation of a GenBank genome assembly. NCBI's taxonomy places the organism in Eukaryota, Metazoa, Arthropoda, Insecta, Hemiptera, Aphididae.